CUUCUCAUCAACUAGCUUUCACAAUAAGGCAUCAUCCUGCAUUUUUGGGCCAUCAAGAAAAUCACUUACAAAAAUAGAUAUCCAUUCACAAAAAAGAGAAAAUCGAUAAAGACAAUUGCUUGAGUGGCACUUAAGGCGACAACUAGCUUUCACAUUUAAUGACUAGGGUCAUUAAGUUCAUCCAACGUUUUACUCUAUGGUCAUUGAGGCAUCUAUGAUUCACCCAUUCCAAAAU
RNAcentral lists this long non-coding RNA (235 nucleotides) under Trifolium pratense (red clover). Its description in RNAcentral is "long non-coding RNA (TPRA_LNC000401)". The record is from RNAcentral. Lineage: Eukaryota; Viridiplantae; Streptophyta; Magnoliopsida; Fabales; Fabaceae.